GCGCUGACCUCGGGGUGCAUGGCCUGCCGCCACGCUGAGAUGCCGCAAGGCGAACCCGUUGAACCUGAACCGGUUAGACCCGGCGGAGGGAAGGUAUGGACGCCCUCC
Molecule: non-coding RNA, 108 nt
Filed under: Rhodobacteraceae bacterium EhC02
Lineage: Bacteria; Pseudomonadati; Pseudomonadota; Alphaproteobacteria; Rhodobacterales; Paracoccaceae
Also listed under: 1 other name
Description: TPP riboswitch aptamer (THI element)
Rfam family: TPP riboswitch aptamer (THI element)
About the family: Vitamin B(1) in its active form thiamin pyrophosphate (TPP) is an essential coenzyme that is synthesised by coupling of pyrimidine and thiazole moieties in bacteria. The previously detected thiamin-regulatory element, thi box was extended, resulting in a new, highly conserved RNA secondary structure, the THI element, which is widely distributed in eubacteria and also occurs in some archaea.
Source: Rfam by way of RNAcentral